Molecule: small RNA, 526 nt
Filed under: Pongo abelii (Sumatran orangutan)
Lineage: Eukaryota; Metazoa; Chordata; Mammalia; Primates; Hominidae
Description: processed transcript
Source: RNAcentral
AGUGCACCCAGUUAGACUUGGAGCGGAAACUCAAGUUGAAUGAAAAUGCCAUCUCCAGGCUCCAGGCCAACCAAAAGUCUGUUCUGAUGUCGGUGUCAGAGGUCAAAGCAGUGGCUGAAAUGCAGUUUGGGGAACUCCUUGCUGCUGUGAGGAAGGCCCAGGCCAAUGUGAUGCUGUUCUUAGAGGAGAAGGAGCAAGCUGCGCUGAGCCAGGCCAACGGUAUCAAGGCCCACCUGGAGUACAGGAGUGCCGAGAUGGAGAAAAGAGUACUGCAAGUUUAAGAACACUGAAGACAUCACCUUCCCUAGUGUUUACAUAGGGCUGAAGGAUAAACUCUUGGGCAUCCGCAAAGUUAUCACGGAAUCCACUGUACACUUAAUCCAGUUGCUGGAGAACUAUAAGGAAAAGCUCCAGGAGUUUUCCAAGGAAGAGGAGUAUGACAUCAGAACUCAAGUGUCUGCCGUUGUUCAGCGCAAAUAUUGGACUUCCAGACCUGAGCCCAGCACCAGGGAACAGUUCCUCCAAU